Molecule: transfer RNA, 73 nt
Filed under: Mesorhizobium sangaii
Lineage: Bacteria; Pseudomonadati; Pseudomonadota; Alphaproteobacteria; Hyphomicrobiales; Phyllobacteriaceae
Description: tRNA-OTHER
Source: RNAcentral
GUAGACGGCUAGAAAGAGACUUAAAAUCCCUCGAUCUCUGAUCGUACGGGUUCGAUUCCCGUCGUCCGCACCA